This 85-nucleotide transfer RNA is filed under the name Felis catus (domestic cat). It matches the Rfam family "tRNA". From Rfam's summary of the family: Transfer RNA (tRNA) molecules are approximately 80 nucleotides in length. The record is from Rfam by way of RNAcentral. Lineage: Eukaryota; Metazoa; Chordata; Mammalia; Carnivora; Felidae.
GCCUGGGUGGCUCAGUCGUUUAAGUGUCUGACUUCGGCUUGGGUCAUGAUCUCACAGUUUGUGGGUUCAAGUCCCACAUCGGGCU